CGAGUGGCGGACGGGUGAGUAAUGUCUGGGAAACUGCCUGAUGGAGGGGGAUAACUACUGGAAACGGUAGCUAAUACCGCAUAACGUCGCAAGACCAAAGAGGGGGACCUUCGGGCCUCUUGCCAUCGGAUGUGCCCAGAUGGGAUUAGCUAGUAGGUGGGGUAACGGCUCACCUAGGCGACGAUCCCUAGCUGGUCUGAGGGGAUGACCAGCCACACUGGAACUGAGACACGGUCCAG
RNAcentral lists this ribosomal RNA (239 nucleotides) under uncultured bacterium. Its description in RNAcentral is "partial 16S ribosomal RNA". It matches the Rfam family "Bacterial small subunit ribosomal RNA", at positions 92 to 334 of the family's 1533-position model. The record is from RNAcentral.